UGGUGGGUUGCCUUGUCAGGUUGAUUCCGGUAACGAACGAGACCUCAGCCUGCUAAAUAGUCACGGUUGCCUUUGGCAGCCGGACGACUUCUUAGAGGGACUAUUGUCGUUUAGGCAGUGGAAGUAUGAGGCGAUAACA
This 139-nucleotide ribosomal RNA is filed under the name uncultured eukaryote. RNAcentral's name for it is "partial 18S ribosomal RNA". It matches the Rfam family "Eukaryotic small subunit ribosomal RNA", at positions 1299 to 1458 of the family's 1831-position model. The record is from RNAcentral.